Daphnia pulex (common water flea) is the source of this 272-nucleotide long non-coding RNA. RefSeq lists it as uncharacterized. NCBI's taxonomy places the organism in Eukaryota, Metazoa, Arthropoda, Branchiopoda, Diplostraca, Daphniidae. The transcript has 2 exons. The record is from RefSeq and is a predicted model, not a curated record.
CAGCUGAUUUUUGACAGUUCAUUGCAUCGACUGCUCGACUGCUUCAGUUUUUUGAAACGACGAAAUAUCAAAUAUGAGCUCGCUGCCUAAACUGAAAGAAUUUGAAUGUGAUGUUUCUCCUCACGACAAAAGUGUUUGCACCUUAAAGCUGACGGUAGAGGGAUCGUCAACUGACGAAGACGGGAAAAAACGCAUCUCUAUAGAUAUGCAUGCAAGUGAAUUAUCAACCACUGUGCAUCUUUUGCAACAAGCCAGAGACCAAAUUGCAACAC